AUGCAGCCGGGCAGAGAUGGUUGCGACUUCCACCGGUGGCAAGAAGCAUACGCGGAACAUCUGGCUUCGCUUGGACCGGCGGCACCUCCAUUGGCACAAAUCAAUGCAGACGAGAACGAAAUUGGGGGAGCAAAUCAAGGUGGUCAUCUGCAGGCGGCGGAUGGCGAGGCCGGAAACCAGGGCGGAGGAUCGGAUGGGUCGCAGAUGUCGGCUGCAGGCGGUGCUGGAGGAUCUGUGCUUGAUGCGGCGGCAAGCGGCGCUGGAGGAUAUGUGCUUGGUGCGGCGGUGGUUGGCCGGCGUCCGGCUACUGUCGCACUGGACCCCGCAUCUAUCAAUCUGGUUGUUUCUGUGGGAAACAUGGUCAUUUGCAUCGCCAUCCUUGUACUGGUUGCAGCUUCAAGCAUGAUGCGUGUGUUUGAUUAG
This 423-nucleotide ribosomal RNA is filed under the name Triticum aestivum (bread wheat). RNAcentral's name for it is "partial small subunit ribosomal RNA". Lineage: Eukaryota; Viridiplantae; Streptophyta; Magnoliopsida; Poales; Poaceae. The record is from RNAcentral.